CGGUCUUCUUCCAAAAAGGGUUUCUGAAAAGCGUCGGUCUUCUUCUUCAGCGUAACGAUGAGCUGCGGCUAACGGCAACAGUAUUCUUCGACAAACUUCGGUCUUCUUCUUCAGAGUGAGGUUCUUCGUCUUCUUCAAUCUGGGCAUCUUCAGUUCAUCUCCAGUGGUCUUAUUCUCAAUAAGAAUCUUCGUCGACUGCAAGCUUUUGCAUAUAAAGUAUUUCUGUUUCUACAUUCUCUGAGGAAUCUUCAACUUUAGAGUCGACCAACAAGAAUCCAGCCGAAGGCUGGCAUAUCAACUUCUGCUAGUCCAUCGCUUGCUGAAGUUAGGAUGCUUGUUCAGAAAGUGAAAAUGAAUUCUACCAUUCCUCCAACAAAUGAACAAUCUGAAGAACAAGGUAACAUAUAAGCUUAGAAACUUAUUGAAUUCAUCCAUGAUUUCUAAUUUCUUGUUACUUCUUUUAAGUGAGCCAUUUUAGAUCGAGUAUUGUCAGUUGAUCUAGAAGUGCUUAAUUUGUACAACAAAAUUACUCCAAACCUAAGAGACCAUUUGAUUAAAAAGGAUGAAUAUAAAUUAGAGUACUUAAGAUGAUUUUAGUUUGUCACAAUUUUUACAAGUUAAACAAUUAAAGGUAUAUCUACUACAUAUGUGAAUCAUGUGAUCUCACGAGAGAAUUAGGCAGAUAUAUAUUGAAUUAGAUUUUAAAAAUUUAUUGGACUAAAAAUUUUGAAUCAAAUUUUAAGAAUUUAUCUUUAAAAAUAAUAAUUCAAAUUUUCAAAAAUUGGUUCAGAUAGUUGAUUGGAGAAAUUACAUUUGAUUUUUCCUCACAAAAAAUCAAAUAUUUUUAAAACUAAAAUGUAUCUUUCAAACACAUUAAAUAUUAAAAACAUAACUUUUAUAUUUCAAUUUUUAACUUCACAAUAUAUAAUCAAAUAGCAACUUUAAAUAUUAAAAACAUACUUAAUUUUUAUAUUUCAA
Long non-coding RNA from Solanum stenotomum, 978 nucleotides. RefSeq lists it as uncharacterized. The record is from RefSeq and is a predicted model, not a curated record. The transcript is spliced from 3 exons. NCBI's taxonomy places the organism in Eukaryota, Viridiplantae, Streptophyta, Magnoliopsida, Solanales, Solanaceae.